Molecule: ribosomal RNA, 492 nt
Filed under: uncultured bacterium
Lineage: Bacteria
Description: partial 16S ribosomal RNA
Rfam family: Bacterial small subunit ribosomal RNA
Source: RNAcentral
AGUGAACGCUGGCGGUAGGCCUAACACAUGCAAGUCGAACGGCAGCACAGUAAGAGCUUGCUCUUACGGGUGGCGAGUGGCGGACGGGUGAGGAAUACAUCGGAAUCUACUUUUUCGUGGGGGAUAACGUAGGGAAACUUACGCUAAUACCGCAUACGACCUACGGGUGAAAGCAGGGGAUCUUCGGACCUUGCGCGAUUGAAUGAGCCGAUGUCGGAUUAGCUAGUUGGCGGGGUAAAGGCCCACCAAGGCGACGAUCCGUAGCUGGUCUGAGAGGAUGAUCGGCCACACUGGAACUGAGACACGGUCCAGAGUCCUACGGGAGGCAGCAGUGGGGAAUAUUGGACAAUGGGGGCAAGCAUGAUCCAGCCAUACCGCGUGGGUGAAGAAGGCCUUCGGGUUGUAAAGCCCUUUUGUUGGGAAAGAAAAGCAGCAGGUUAAUACCCCGCUGUUCUGACGGUACCCAAAGAAUAAGCACCGGCUAACUUCGUG